UCCCUGAUAGCUCAGCUGGUAAAGAAUCCGCCUGGAAUGCGGGAGACCUGGGUUCGAUCCCUGGGUUGGGAA
Transfer RNA from Ovis aries (sheep), 72 nucleotides. It matches the Rfam family "tRNA". Rfam says of the family: Transfer RNA (tRNA) molecules are approximately 80 nucleotides in length. Their secondary structure includes four short double-helical elements and three loops (D, anti-codon, and T loops). Further hydrogen bonds mediate the characteristic L-shaped molecular structure. tRNAs have two regions of fundamental functional importance: the anti-codon, which is responsible for specific mRNA codon recognition, and the 3' end, to which the tRNAs corresponding amino acid is attached (by aminoacyl-tRNA synthetases). tRNAs cope with the degeneracy of the genetic code in two manners: having more than one tRNA (with a specific anti-codon) for a particular amino acid; and 'wobble' base-pairing, i.e. permitting non-standard base-pairing at the 3rd anti-codon position. NCBI's taxonomy places the organism in Eukaryota, Metazoa, Chordata, Mammalia, Artiodactyla, Bovidae. The record is from Rfam.